AUUGAACGCUGGCGGCAGGCCUAACACAUGCAAGUCGAACGGUAACAGGAAACAGCUUGCUGUUUCGCUGACGAGUGGCGGACGGGUGAGUAAUGUCUGGGAAACUGCCUGAUGGAGGGGGAUAACUACUGGAAACGGUAGCUAAUACCGCAUAACGUCGCAAGACCAAAGAGGGGGACCCUCGGGCCUCUUGCCAUCGGAUGUGCCCAGAUGGGAUUAGCUUGUUGGUGGGGUAACGGCUCACCAAGGCGACGAUCCCUAGCUGGUCUGAGAGGAUGACCAGCCACACUGGAACUGAGACACGGUCCAGACUCCUACGGGAGGCAGCAGUGGGGAAUAUUGCACAAUGGGCGCAAGCCUGAUGCAGCCAUGCCGCGUGUAUGAAG
Molecule: ribosomal RNA, 386 nt
Filed under: uncultured bacterium
Lineage: Bacteria
Description: bacterial SSU rRNA
Rfam family: Bacterial small subunit ribosomal RNA
Source: RNAcentral